This 432-nucleotide long non-coding RNA is filed under the name Capsella rubella. Its description in RNAcentral is "long non-coding RNA (CRUB_LNC003699)". Lineage: Eukaryota; Viridiplantae; Streptophyta; Magnoliopsida; Brassicales; Brassicaceae. The record is from RNAcentral.
UAACAUGAUUUGUUUUCUACAUAUCCUUUUCUUCUGGCAUUCAUGAUGUGACACCUCUACUCCUACACCUAGGAUACUAGUUCACAAAUCUUAUUACUCCCCACAUUUUUAAUUAUUUUUAAAAAAAAUGUUAGAUACUGUGUCCUCCUCGAUACUCAUCAUUGUUUUAUCCAUUUCCGGAAUAUUUAUAAUACAAGUUUUCUAAAAUCGUAUUUAGCCAAAAAUAUAUAUAAAAAUUAAAAAAAUAUCUAAAACCACAUAAAACAUAACGUUCUCUUUUUUUUUUUUUUUAUGGUUUUGUUUGGUAUUGGAAGCAAAAUGAGAAAUCUCGUUUUCCAUGAAGAAGCAUUUACUUUUUGUGUGAUGUGUUAAUAAUCAUAAUUGGCUUUCUCUGAUGCAUGGCCUCUGCCAAAAGAAAUAAUAAUACUACGA